Molecule: ribosomal RNA, 154 nt
Filed under: uncultured Chlamydiales bacterium
Lineage: Bacteria; Pseudomonadati; Chlamydiota; Chlamydiia; Chlamydiales
Description: partial 16S ribosomal RNA
Rfam family: Bacterial small subunit ribosomal RNA
Source: RNAcentral
GGGAGGCUGCAGUCGAGAAUCUUUCGCAAUGGGCGCAAGCCUGACGAAGCGACGCCGUGUGGAUGAUGACAGCUUUCGGGUUGUAAAGUCCUUUCGCUUGGGAGCAAGAGAAAUUAGUUAAUAACUAAUUAUUUGAGAGUACCAGGUAAAGAAG